UGCGCAGCAUAGGUGGGAGGCAAAGAAUAUAUAUUUGCGGAUGUAUAGGAGCCAUUAGUGAGAUACCACUCUGAUUAAACUAGAAUUCUAAUAUUGAUUGCCAUAAGCUGGCCAAUAAACAGUUUCAGGUGGGCAGUUUGACUGGGGCGGUCGCCUCCUAAAAGGUAACGGAGGCGUGCAAAGGUUUCCUCAGGCUGGUCGGAAAUCAGUCGUAGAGUAUAAAGGUAUAAGGAAGCUUGACUGCGAGACAUACAAGUCGAGCAGAGACGAAAGUCGGCCUUAGUGAUCCGACAGUACUG
This 299-nucleotide ribosomal RNA is filed under the name Gracilaria cervicornis. Its description in RNAcentral is "partial 23S ribosomal RNA". It matches the Rfam family "Bacterial large subunit ribosomal RNA", at positions 2135 to 2431 of the family's 2925-position model. Lineage: Eukaryota; Rhodophyta; Florideophyceae; Gracilariales; Gracilariaceae. The record is from RNAcentral.